This 254-nucleotide ribosomal RNA is filed under the name uncultured bacterium. RNAcentral's name for it is "partial 16S ribosomal RNA". It matches the Rfam family "Bacterial small subunit ribosomal RNA", at positions 524 to 776 of the family's 1533-position model. The record is from RNAcentral.
UACGUAGGGAGCGAGCGUUGUCCGGAUUCAUUGGGCGUAAAGAGCUCGUAGGCGGCUUGGCAAGUCGGGUGUGAAAACUCCAGGCUCAACCUGGAGACGCCACCCGAUACUGCCAUGGCUAGAGUCCGGUAGGGGACCACGGAAUUCCUGGUGUAGCGGUGAAAUGCGCAGAUAUCAGGAGGAACACCGGUGGCGAAGGCGGUUCUCUGGGCCUGUUCCGACGCUGAGGAGCGAAAGCGUGGGGAGCGAACGGG